GCGGAUAUGGCGAAAUUGGCAGACGCGCUGGAUUUAGGUUCCAGUGGGGCAACCCGUGGAGGUUCAAGUCCUCUUAUCCGCACCA
RNAcentral lists this transfer RNA (85 nucleotides) under Rickettsiales bacterium. RNAcentral's name for it is "tRNA-Leu". It matches the Rfam family "tRNA". Rfam says of the family: Transfer RNA (tRNA) molecules are approximately 80 nucleotides in length. Their secondary structure includes four short double-helical elements and three loops (D, anti-codon, and T loops). Further hydrogen bonds mediate the characteristic L-shaped molecular structure. tRNAs have two regions of fundamental functional importance: the anti-codon, which is responsible for specific mRNA codon recognition, and the 3' end, to which the tRNAs corresponding amino acid is attached (by aminoacyl-tRNA synthetases). tRNAs cope with the degeneracy of the genetic code in two manners: having more than one tRNA (with a specific anti-codon) for a particular amino acid; and 'wobble' base-pairing, i.e. permitting non-standard base-pairing at the 3rd anti-codon position. The record is from RNAcentral. Lineage: Bacteria; Pseudomonadati; Pseudomonadota; Alphaproteobacteria; Rickettsiales.